Molecule: non-coding RNA, 257 nt
Organism: Pelobates cultripes (western spadefoot toad)
Lineage: Eukaryota; Metazoa; Chordata; Amphibia; Anura; Pelobatidae
Source: the annotation of a GenBank genome assembly
ACGGUCUCAGCGUGGAUAUUGGUUAGGGCAAUCGCUUCGGGGUACCGGGUGGCGUAAUCCACCACGGUCAGGAUAUACCGUUUCCCAGAGGGGCUGGGCUUUGGUAGUGGCCCCACUAUGUCUACAGCUACACGGCUGAACGGUUCCUCAAUUAUGGGUAGGGGACAUAGCUUGGCCUUGUGGCGAUCCCCCCUCUUGCCUACCCUCUGACACACAUCACAGGAGGUACAAUAUUGCCGCACGUCUUUAGAAAUCCC